RNAcentral lists this ribosomal RNA (484 nucleotides) under uncultured bacterium. Its description in RNAcentral is "partial 16S ribosomal RNA". It matches the Rfam family "Bacterial small subunit ribosomal RNA", at positions 30 to 507 of the family's 1533-position model. The record is from RNAcentral.
AUUGAACGCUGGCGGCAGGCCUAACACAUGCAAGUCGAGCGGAUGAAGGGAGCUUGCUCCUGGAUUCAGCGGCGGACGGGUGAGUAAUGCCUAGGAAUCUGCCUGGUAGUGGGGGAUAACGUCCGGAAACGGGCGCUAAUACCGCAUACGUCCUGAGGGAGAAAGUGGGGGAUCUUCGGACCUCACGCUAUCAGAUGAGCCUAGGUCGGAUUAGCUAGUUGGUGGGGUAAAGGCCUACCAAGGCGACGAUCCGUAACUGGUCUGAGAGGAUGAUCAGUCACACUGGAACUGAGACACGGUCCAGACUCCUACGGGAGGCAGCAGUGGGGAAUAUUGGACAAAGGGCGAAAGCCUGAUCCAGCCAUGCCGCGUGUGUGAAGAUGGUCUUCGGAUUGUAAAGCACUUUAAGUUGGGAGGAAGGGCAGUAAGUUAAUACCUUGCUGUUUUGACGUUACCAACAGAAUAAGCACCGGCUAACUUCGUG